Molecule: transfer RNA, 73 nt
Filed under: Jakoba libera
Lineage: Eukaryota; Jakobea; Jakobida; Jakobidae
Description: tRNA-Pro
Rfam family: tRNA
About the family: Transfer RNA (tRNA) molecules are approximately 80 nucleotides in length. Their secondary structure includes four short double-helical elements and three loops (D, anti-codon, and T loops).
Source: RNAcentral
CGGAAAAUAGCUCAAAAGGAAGAGCAUCCGCUUUGGGAGCGGAAGGUUAUGAGUUCAAGCCUCAUUUUUCCGA